UUUCUUUGAUUCGCGAUGAAAGGCAUUAGAUGAGGGAAAACGCAUGGAAUAAGAGUUUUAUCGCAUUUAAAUAUGCAUUGUAUAACGUCUUAUUGUUUUAUAACAAUGUGUAUUUGCUGUGCGUGGCUAAACCGCUCUCAGGGGGGCACUUCCGUCGACGCCCGAUGCAGAGCUGACCAGGAUGGGUUUGCUUUUUAACAGGGAAACGGCGAAAGUAAGUGUUUUAUCUAAUUUACAAUAUGUAUGUUAUAAUAUAUUGAUUUAUAGCGAUAUUUAAAUGCUUUGUUCGCUUAAACGAGCCGAAUAUUUUCUCUAAGGCGACUAUCUUCUUUGACUCAAUAUACUGAGCUGACGACGAGGGAGGUUUGCUUGUAUCUUUAAAACACAAAGUAAGUUAAGUGUUUUUAAUCUAACGUUAAUCUACAAAAUGUAUUUCAUGGCAUUAUAUUGUUUUGUAACGAUAUUUAUGUGAUGUGCGUGCUUAAACCUUUCUCACAGACUACGUUAGGCCUGCAUCUUCGACUCGUGACACAGUGCUGACAUGGAGUGCUUUUAGCAGUAAAAACAAAUAGUUAAUGUUUUAACUCAUUACAAUACGCGUUUUAUAUUGUUUAUGACAAUAUUUGUGAUGUGCAAAUAUUAAAAGUAUGUAUUUAUCCUCAAACUAUCUUUUACUCAUGUUUACUAGCACACCUACUGAAAAAUAGAAGAACAACUCCACAGACUGCAGAUCAACAAUGCACGUGAAAUUGUCGCUUUAUUUCCUUUUUUGGAGGACCAAUUUUCUUAGAAUGGGAGCAUUUCUAUGAUGCACCGAGGGGCUAAGGCUAACCAGGCUUGGUGUUUAAAGACUGUACAGACUAGAACUUGGUGAUGCCACAAGAAAGGAACACAGAUUCUUCCGGCGGCUGACUAUUAGGGAGAUUUCUUAAGGUGGGUG
This is a non-coding RNA of Pimephales promelas (fathead minnow), 940 nucleotides long. The record is from RefSeq and is a predicted model, not a curated record. Lineage: Eukaryota; Metazoa; Chordata; Actinopteri; Cypriniformes; Leuciscidae.